GGGUCUGUAGCUCAGCUGGUUAGAGCGCACCCCUGAUAAGGGUGAGGUCGGUGGUUCGAGUCCACCCUGACCCACCA
Molecule: transfer RNA, 77 nt
Filed under: Pseudomonadales bacterium
Lineage: Bacteria; Pseudomonadati; Pseudomonadota; Gammaproteobacteria; Pseudomonadales
Description: tRNA-Ile
Rfam family: tRNA
About the family: Transfer RNA (tRNA) molecules are approximately 80 nucleotides in length. Their secondary structure includes four short double-helical elements and three loops (D, anti-codon, and T loops). Further hydrogen bonds mediate the characteristic L-shaped molecular structure. tRNAs have two regions of fundamental functional importance: the anti-codon, which is responsible for specific mRNA codon recognition, and the 3' end, to which the tRNAs corresponding amino acid is attached (by aminoacyl-tRNA synthetases). tRNAs cope with the degeneracy of the genetic code in two manners: having more than one tRNA (with a specific anti-codon) for a particular amino acid; and 'wobble' base-pairing, i.e. permitting non-standard base-pairing at the 3rd anti-codon position.
Source: RNAcentral